This 6066-nucleotide unclassified non-coding RNA is filed under the name Haliotis rufescens (red abalone). RNAcentral describes it as "serine/threonine-protein phosphatase 2A regulatory subunit B'' subunit beta-like, transcript variant X5". Lineage: Eukaryota; Metazoa; Mollusca; Gastropoda; Lepetellida; Haliotidae. The record is from RNAcentral.
GUUUCCACUCAAAGAGUCUGUGGGCACUAAGGGCGGGAUUACACUUCCUACGUAGGCUCUCCAUAAAAGGAAUCUGCCCCUAGGCCUGUCGAAGAUGCUAACUGUUGAGACUGGCUGCUGAAUGCCUCAUAGUGAAUGUGUAACUGGCAGAAAAUCCUACACCUCUCAGCCAUGCUGUCUGUCUCUCAUUAACAAAGGCUCAACGCAAUACAAGUCUUACUGGCAGCAGAUAGAAUAGGCCGACACACUUCAACGAGUCUCAGGAUAUUUUAAUCGGCUCACCAACUUUUUGAUCUCUGUGUGAUGUUGCGUGUCCUCAAUCUCUGAGGAUAUAAAGUUGGCUGAAAGUUUUCUUAGUGGUGUGUAAAAGUGUGGAUGUGUAUAUUGUUUGUUCCGGAACCACAUGUCUUCAAUUGGAUAUCUAUAUCUCAUUCUGAUAUUCUUGUGCUGAAGAAGAGCAGGGUCACCUAUUAUGCAGAAGAAGUAUGCCUGCGUUAAGUAUGUACACUCACGGGUAACUGUGUAUUACACAAGUAAAAUCGAGCUUAAGUGGCGGAGAUCACUACAUAGUUGUGCCGUGUGUGAUGUUGCUCAGUUGAAGAAGUUGGGCCUACCCUGUGGAGCUAUACAUUAUGGGAUAUGUACAGCUGUUUCACUACCCUUCCCUCUCAGCCUUGUCAACUGUAAAAAAUCCACAGGCACACCAGCAAAGAAGCCGAUCCAAAGAGUUCAGCCCAAAGUCAUCUCACAGCCAGCUGUGUCCAAUGCGAAAGAAGACAGCCUGCAGAGCAUAUUACGAGAUGAACAUCCACGCGAGAAAGACACAGAGUCGAACAGCCGUCCAGUCAUUGUGCCCCACUCGACAGAGGACAAGGAGAAUAAGCCCAAGAGGCGUGACUUGCCAACACCAAGGACUAGUGUUCACAGUAGUGCCAAUAUUCCCAAAUUUUACUUCCCAAUGGGACGACCACCCAAAAUUGACACCACAGACUCUGUGUUACAGAAUGUCGCUCAGGAAUUCUCUAACUUGGAAGGUGGAAAAGCUUACAAGCAACAAAUGGGCCUUAUAGCAAAGGCUUGUGGUGUUCCAUUCUACUGGAAGUGCCCGCUGUUCCGAGGAUCAGGGGGAGAUAAGCAGGGAUAUAUUACCUACCAGAUGUUUGCCUCUAUGUGGAAGAAGUUGAUGGAGAGUUACCAUGAUGAGGCCUCACGGUUUGUCAAACUACUGGCAAAACCCAGCUGUAACUACCUUGAUGAAGACGACCUUGUGCCCCUUGUACAGGAUGUUGUAGAAUCUCACCCAGGUCUUAGUUUCCUCCAAGAAGCUCCAGAAUUCCAUUCUAGAUAUAUAAAUACGGUGAUAGCAAGAAUAUUCUUCAGUAUCAACCGGUUGUGGACAGGGCGGUUAACGGUGCCGGAGAUACGACAAAGUAAUCUACUUAGAACUUUAGCGUUACUUGAAGACGAGGAGGACAUCAACCAGAUAACGGAGUACUUCUCCUAUGAACAUUUCUAUGUGAUCUACUGUAAGUUCUGGGAGCUGGACAAGGACCAUGACUUGUUCAUAGACCGGGGAGAUCUGGCCAGACACAAUGAACAUGCGUUGUCAUCACGGGUGAUAGAAAGGAUAUUCUCAGGGGCAGUGACGCGGGGUGAGAACUUCAAGGUUGGUCGAAUGAGUUACCCAGAGUUUGUGUGGUUCUUGAUAGCGGAGGAAGACAAGAGAAACCCAACCAGUGUGGAGUACUGGUUCCGCUGCAUGGACCUGGAUGGGGAUGGUGUUAUCUCCAUGUAUGAGAUGGAGUACUUCUAUGAGGAACAGAUGCAGAAGAUGGAGGCAAUAGGAAUUGAGAAACUACCAUUUGAAGACUGUUUGUGUCAGAUGCUGGAUCUAGUUCGACCAAAACACAAAGAGCAGAUAACCCUGAGAGACCUCAAGUCUUGCAAGAUGACAAACAUUUUCUUUGACACAUUCUUCAACCUAGACAAGUUCCUGGAACAUGAGCAAAGAGAUCCGUUUGCUAAUGUGAGGGACCCUGAGACAGAUGGGCCGGAACCGUCAGACUGGGAGAAGUACGCUGCUGAGGAAUAUGAGAUUCUUGUAGCAGAGGAAGGGGCCAAUGAGCAAGAAGAAAUACAUUAUGAAGACGACUUUGAACCAGAGGAUGAUGACAGUCUUGGAGAGGAAAUAAUUCGUCUGGCUGAUGUACCACAACGUAAAACCUCACCGGUCGUUAGACAAAGCCCAGCAGAUGAUAUUUAUGAUUUUAGUACUAAAAACCUUGGAUAUUGACAGUCCAAGGGAGAUGACUCUUGUUUAUGGCAUACAUGAAGUCACAGCACAAUCAAAGGGGGGCAACUCAUCACUGAUCCUAGUCCAGUCAAUGUCACAAUGUUUGUAUUAUGAUGUGGAUACUUCUGGUCUAAAAUGCAUUUUCAGUGAUCUUUAUUUGUACAGAGAAUCAACAAUUUCUGCUUCAGAGAUCUAUAUUGAAGCAUGUGAUAAUCAAGGCAUACAUUGUCCCUGCAUGUAGAAUAAGAAUAUAUUGAUUGCACCACCUUUUAAAGGUGCACACAUGAUACACAGACGGUCCAUUGCUAUUCUGGAGAGAUUCCAGCUUUAUCCUUGCACAUUUAGCAAAAGAUUGGAAAGCUUUAACAAAUGUAGCAUAUUGUAGAUGGCAAGGACAGACCAUGACGGUGUCCUGAAUGUUUGCGGGUAUGGAAAUUAGCACUAGCUCGGACCUGUUUUGUUAAAGUUAAACCAAGGGCUAGGAGAAUUGCAAACAUUUUAGGGGAUGUUGCUUUACAUUAUCGUUGGUGGGUUAGUAGACAUUCUUGGUUAAUUUCCAUCCCUGUGUCUGUAUCCUAGUCUUACUGGAACACAAUGUAAAGGCAGUUUACUUGAGAACACACACACCCAUGAAUUAUGUGUAGGCACUAAUGUGAAAGAUAUGAAAGAUUUCACUGUUACCAUGUUAUGUUAUUUUGUAUGUAACGACUGAGUUAAGGCAAUCCAGAAAUCCGUCCCGUACAGAGGUGCUGCAAAACCUUGCUAUGAAGUGGGAGGCACCAGGGCUGCCUACAGACAGUAGUCCAGGAUGAUAACCUGUACCUGGUACAAGCUGGUUUGACAUGGAGUAUGUGUAAAUAUGUCAUAUUAGCCAGUAACCAGCAACUGAAGCAAUGUGAUAAUGUCAAGGGACAUAACUCAUGACAGAUUACUGUAACAAGACAUUCUAUUUGUUGGUAUUUGUGGAUGUUAGGUGACAAUUUAUUUUUGUUAGUUCUCAUUAUUUUAAGCUGGAGCAUUGUAGUUCUUUUGUUUGGGGUUCCUUUUUAUGUGAAGUAUACAGGCUUAGAUGUACCACAUUGUCACGGAUGUGAUGUAGGUACACUGCAAGCUGUGUGGACGAAUUGUGUCAGCACAUUGUUUGAAUAUCUGAAGAUACAGGUUUGAUUCUUGUUCUUUAAUCCCAUGAUGCUAUCCGCCUGUUGUCAUACUGUCACAAAUCAAAGAAGCUGUUUUUUCAUCUUGCAAUAGAGUUGUAAAACUAUUUGAAGCUGUAUUUUGUUCUCUCAAGAAUGUCCAUUUUAUAUCUUGUGUAAAAUAUUUCUUGAGUGGUGGCCAAUGUAUGGUUUACUUCCUUCCACACGAGGUAUUGUUGAGUAUAAGUGGGAAAUUGUUCUGUGGGCAUGUGGCAUGUCUCUACUGUGUUCUUUGAGUUAAUAUUCCAGUGUAGUGUAUAAAGUACACUCAGCAGGUGGAGAAUCAUUCCCUUGUUGGCAAGUUGUACAUGCUCCACACUUCAUAGAUUGUGAGAUGAAAUACACAUUACAUAUCUCCAACAGAAUAUGGUAAUCAACAAUGUCAUUGAAGACCUAGGUCACAGCAAUGCAUGCCAUCCCUUAGGCUGUUAGUCAUGUUAUAAAAAUAUUGUCAGUUAUAGCUUAUUCAUGUUCUUCAUUUAAUGUUCUGACUAGAAUCAUUGUGACGUCUUCCUCACAGACAAUAGUCAUCAAGACACCCCAAUGAUAUACUUUUUAAUCAUGAUGUAUGCUGCCAAGUUAAAAUUUACAUAUGGAAGAAUGAUAUGAGGUUACCCCCCGGUAGCCAGUGUUUGUCCACCACCAUCCUGGCCCACAGGGAUGAUAUGAGGUUAACCCCCGGUAGCCAGUGUUUGUCCACCACCGUCCUGGCCCACAAGGAUGAUAUGAGGUUAACCCCCGGUAGCCAGUGUUUAUCCACCACCGUCCUGGCCCACAGGGAUGAUAUAAAGUUACCCCCCAAUAGCCAGUGUUUGUCCACCACCGCCCUGGCCCACAGGGAUGAUAUGAGGUUAUCCCCCGGUAGCCAGUGUUUGUCCACCACCGUCCUGACCCACAGGGAUGAUAUGAGGUUAUCCCCCUGUAGCCAGUGUUUGUCCACCACCGUCCUGGCCCACAGGGAUGAUAUGAGGUUAUGUCCCAGUUGCCAAUAUUAGCUGCAGUGCAGACUCCUCCAUCCCCCUGUAAGUGAGGAGUAUCAUCAUGAAGACCAGAAAUCAUUCAUAUCUCAGGGAGAGUGUGAUGUGGAGCAUGCCUUGUCUUGUGUCAUGUGUGUGUUGUAGUUCCUGCGUCAGGCCUUUGGUACAGCUGGUAAUGAAAAUAUAUUUACCCCUGACUGUUUCUGAUUUAAUUGCAUUGUGGAAUAUAUUGUUACUAAUAUUUCAAAGCAUUAAUUUUUAUUAGCAUAAUUGUUAUAGACAUUACAGAUUUGUUGUUUCAAGUUCUCUUUUUCUAAUGUGAUUUUCAAAAUCUGUUCAAAUAUUGGUGUACAGAUAUGGAUUAGUCUGUCAUUUAUCUAUGCAGAAUCCUCUCUUCAAAUUUGGAUGAAUGGCUUGAGUUUGCUUUGACUAAACUAUUUCUCAAUGUUCUUUUGUUUGCUAUGAGUAUUCAGCCAGCUGUAAUCAGAUAAGACAGUCGAAACGGUUAAAGUGGAUGUUUUGGUGGUACAGUUAAUGUCACAGCUGCUGACUGAGACACUUUCACAUGACAUUGUGGGGAUCGCCUCAUGUGUCUGGAGCAUGUUUACUUAUUACUUACUCUAAAGCUUUGACACAACCCCUCACUACGCAGUUUGUCUGUGGGUGCACCAGUUUUGCAGUGUCUAGUUCAGUGGGUCAAACAUAUAACACAUCAUCUACUUCAUAACAAUUAUUAAAUGUUUAUUCUGCUGCAUUCUAUGCUAAAUAUGGAGUUUGGCAAUAACGUUAGCUCAAAUUAUUAUGAAAAUGAUUUUAUUUGUUAAAAAAAAGUAUCUUUUAAAAAGUUAGCUUGUCUGAAGUGGUUUUUUAGCUCAACUUGUUCACAGAAAUCUCCAGAGCUAUGGCUUUUUUCAGCAGGUAGCACAUAUAGACAACAUGAUGCACAUAGAAAGUGGGAGGCAGGAGUAGAGGCUGGCAGCUUGUGGUUCACACUGAAGUGAAUGGUCAAUAUGUUCAAUAGCCAAGGAAUGAAUUCCCAGGUAUUAACUGUUCAGUAGCCAUCUGUUGUGGUUUCCAUAUUACACAUGGCUAAGUACAACAGCAGUUCCAAGAAAGGGGAGGUGCAUUGCAUCCAUUUAAAACCUGUUCAAGCUGACACAAAUACCUGUUUCGUGCUUGUUUAACUUUAACCAUUCAAGAGUAUUGUUUACAUGAAGUACAUCAGGUAUAAGUGUAUAUCCUUCCCUCAAGUAACACUGAAAGAUCUACAAACACUCAAUUUUGCUAUUGAUCACCAAGUUGUCAUGGAACACAUACAGUAUGUACUAAGCAGUAAGUAUACCUGUAACCAUGGUAACACUAGGAUCUUACAUAUUGCAUGAAUCAGUAGGAUGUUAUCAGCUUAUAGUAAGGGUGUUCACCUUGUAUAUAUUUUAUAGGGUCAACGAGUGCUGCAUUUAACAGUGUCAUAAUUUAUUGAAUGAAUGUGUAAUUGUCUUAUUAAUGUCAUGUGACAUGAUGCCAUACACAUUGUAUUUAUUGUCGCCAACAGAAUCAAUUCAUGUGUAGAUAUUCACCCAUUAAAUGGGAUAUACACAAA